UACGUAGGUGGCGAGCGUUGUCCGGAUUUAUUGGGUUUAAAGGGUGCGUAGGCGGCCCCGUUAGUCAGCGGUGAAAUACGGCAGCUUAACUGUCGAGGUGCCGUUGAUACUGCGGGGCUUGAGUGCGGUCGAGGAGGGCGGAAUUGACGGUGUAGCGGUGAAAUGCUUAGAUAUCGUCAAGAACACCGAUAGCGAAGGCAGCCCUCCAGGCCGCAACUGACGCUGAGGCACGAAAGUGCGGGGAU
This 245-nucleotide ribosomal RNA is filed under the name uncultured bacterium. Its description in RNAcentral is "partial 16S ribosomal RNA". It matches the Rfam family "Bacterial small subunit ribosomal RNA", at positions 524 to 768 of the family's 1533-position model. The record is from RNAcentral.